Long non-coding RNA from Mauremys reevesii (Reeves's turtle), 1392 nucleotides. RefSeq lists it as uncharacterized. The transcript is spliced from 6 exons. Lineage: Eukaryota; Metazoa; Chordata; Testudines; Geoemydidae. The record is from RefSeq and is a predicted model, not a curated record.
GUUUUCACAAGUGUAUGCCUCACCUUCAGUGCUAGCACCUGUGCCUCUUGCUGUGGCUUGAAUGCUUUUAAAAGCAUAUGAUUCAGGCUCAUCCCCUUUGCUGGUCCCUGGGCCCUUGCUACAGCGGAAGCAGGCUAACCUCUGUUGGGAAGAAUGUAAUCUGGGCCUCACGGCAGUCAGGUGGCAGCCAUCCUGUAGUAAGUCCAUGGAAGCUUUACCUAGCUUGUUCAGAGUCUGAGCACUCUUUUUCCUCCUAGCAGUUGGAAUUGGACUACCUUCUAUGGUCUAGCAUGCUCCUGUUCCUGAGAUACCUAGUUGACUCAAUCUGGAAAGUGGCUGCAUUUGUGAGUACUCCAGGAGAAUUUUCUGUGUCUGGAAAUAUUUAUUGUACUGUCUAACAUUCCACCUGCUCCAAAAGUGUUUUGAAAGGAAAAGAUCUUAAAUCUGAAGAAACCUGCCCUUUAUAAUGAUUGAGUGACGCUAAAUUCUGAGCUCCAAAUAUUGUCCAGGAAGAACCAGUGGAGGAUGAGCGCAGUUGAGUUCAGCUCCACCAUGCACUCUCCAGCUCCUGCCCUGGUCUUGACACACAGCCAAACUCACCUAUACAUACUUGCUUCUAACUCCUUGUUUUGGGAAACAUCUGCCCUGCAUGGUGGCUCACAUAGCAUGCUGAACUUUGGCUUUGCUACAGUUGAUGAGCUGCAUCACCUUGGAGUACCAUAGCCUCUGGAAAUUAAACAACUCGUACUGUUGGAAGAUCAUCUUAUAGAAAAGUCAGUUCUUUGCGUAAAUUAUAAACCCAUAAAUAUUUGAGUUAGACAUGCACUCCAAAUGAUCUGAGUAUCAGAAACGUAUUUCAAGAGUUCUUCAAUUUCAAAAGAGAAGCAAUCUUUAGUUUUGCAAUCUAUAUUCAAUGUAUACUUGAAGUAAUCAUUGUUAGUUAAGAUGCUUACUGUUUUAACACUCAUUUGUAAUAGUGUCUCUAAUUAUUCUAUUUUGCUGGCUUCAUCUUCUUCAGAAAAUCUGUCCAAUCAUCCUAUUUACUAAAUUCUUUAUGCCGCUAAUGAUCUUUUUCAUUCUUAUGCUACUUACAUCUUGGCUUAAUCACAUUGACUUAUCUUGUGUCGUUCCAAUGCUUAAAUUUUAUUGCACUAUAAGCCAUACCUUUCAUGCAUCAUAUCCUUGAUAAAUUAUUUGUAAUUUUUUGAGAACCAACGUUCUCUAUUUUAUGAUCUCAAAGUGUGAAGUCUUACUUGGUAAAAUCAGUCAGGUUUUAGACAGUAGCUUCCUUAUUCUGCUUUUUAUGAACUUUUCCUGCUACAAUGUACAAUAUUAAGUAACUGUCCCAUCUGAAAAAUAAAGUACAUGUCCAAAGUUGUACGCUCACAAGAA